CUUGGCUUCUCUGGCCCUAAGUUUACAUGGUGCAACCGGCAAGAACAAGACGGUCAUGUUAAGGUUCGGCUUGACAGAGCCGUAGCUAAUGGUGCAUUCUCUCGGCUGUUUGAUGAUUGUUGUGUGGAGAAUAUAACAACUUCUGACCAUUAUGUCGUACUAAUUAAUCUAUCCCAUGUGGAUUCUAUGAGGCAUUCUAUGCCAAUUCAGCAGGGCUUCAAGUACGAGGCUAUGUGGUUGAGGGCGGCGGACUACAAGGAUACUUUGGAAAAGGCUUGGGCUGGUGGGAGAAAUGACUCCUUGUCUUUGCAAUCCACGUGGACAAACCUAAACCGGGUGGCCAGCUGCCUUUGAACCUGGAGCAAGGAAUCGUUUGGCUGUAUCCUUAAGCAGAUUAACAAGAUGGAGCGCAGGUUGAGAACUAUCCCUUCUUCUCCUAUAUCUGCAGAUUCACUAGCUGAGGAAAGGAAGAUCGAAGGAUUGCUCUUUGAGCUUUUUGAGCGAGAGGAAAUUUUGGAACGUCAACGCUCGAGGGUGGACUGGCUCCAGGAGGGGGAUAGAAACACCAAGUUUUUUCAUGCACGAGCAGCAGCACGACGACGAGCAAACAAAAUUUCCUCCUUGCUGCGGGAUGAUGGCUCGAGUUGUGACUCUCAAGGUGAAAUUAAAGGUAUGGUUCUGGAAUUCUAUGAUAAGUUGUUCACUUCUGAACCCUGUGACAUGAUUGAUAUAGUUCUUGAUUCUAUUCCUCGGAAAGUGUCUUCGGAGAUGAAUUCUGAUUUAUGA
This 786-nucleotide ribosomal RNA is filed under the name Triticum aestivum (bread wheat). RNAcentral describes it as "partial small subunit ribosomal RNA". Lineage: Eukaryota; Viridiplantae; Streptophyta; Magnoliopsida; Poales; Poaceae. The record is from RNAcentral.